GAGGGMAAGYCUGGUGCCAGCAGCCGCGGUAAUUCCAGCUCCAGUAGCGUAUAUUAAAGUUGUUGCAGUUAAAAAGCUCGUAGUUGGAUUUGUGGUGUUUUUUUUUUUAUUUGCUUUUUUGGUCUCUUUUCAUCGUUUUUAACUUUGAAUCUGAGACUUGAAAGCGAGAACACCAUCCUUGACAGGUUUGAAAGUGAUAUUAUAUCACCGCAAACAUUGUCAUCCUUUACUUUGAAAAAAUUGGAGUGAUUCAAGCAGGCAAGAAUUAUAAUUUUAAUUUUUAAUUUAACUUUGCUUCUGCACAUGUUAGCAUGGAAUAAUGCAAGAGGACUUGGGUUUUCUCUUUCAUUGGUUUCAGGAAUCCGAGUAAUGAUUGAUAGGGACAGUUGGGGGUGCUCGUACUCGACGGCCAGAGGUGAAAUUCUUGGAUUCGUUGAAGACGAACAACUGCGAAAGCAUUCACCAAGGAUGUCUUCUUUAAUCAAGAACGAAAGUUGGGGGAUCGAAGAUGAUCAGAUACCGUCGUAGUCCCAACCAUAAACGACGCCGACCAGGGAUCAGCGAGCGUUGACUUGGCGUUCUCCUUAUUUUCUUUUUUGAGAAUUCGUAGAUUUUGCCAACCUCAUUAAUUUGAAACGACCUCGUUGGCACCUUGCGAGAAAUCACCAGUCUUUGGGCUCCGGGGGGAGUAUGGUCGCAAGGCUGAAACUUAAAGGAAUUGACGGAAGGGCACAACCAGCAGUGGAGCCUGCGGCUUAAAUUGACUCAACACGGGGAAACUUACCAGGUCCAGACAUCAUAAGGAUUGACAGAUUGAAGHUCUUUCUUGAUUYKRUGG
This 838-nucleotide ribosomal RNA is filed under the name Reticulamoeba gemmipara. RNAcentral describes it as "partial 18S small subunit ribosomal RNA". It matches the Rfam family "Eukaryotic small subunit ribosomal RNA", at positions 553 to 1284 of the family's 1831-position model. Lineage: Eukaryota; Cercozoa. The record is from RNAcentral.